This is a long non-coding RNA of Dipodomys spectabilis (banner-tailed kangaroo rat), 195 nucleotides long. RefSeq lists it as uncharacterized. The record is from RefSeq and is a predicted model, not a curated record. NCBI's taxonomy places the organism in Eukaryota, Metazoa, Chordata, Mammalia, Rodentia, Heteromyidae. The transcript is spliced from 2 exons.
GUGAACCAAGAAACAGGACCGUGUGGAGAAAGCCUUCCCACACUCAGUACAGUGGUAGGGCUUCUUGCCACUAUGGCUUCACUUGUGAACCAUGAGAGAGGAAUGUGAGGAGAAAGCCUUCCCGCACUCUGCACAGGGUUGGCGCUUCACACCACUAUGGCUUUGCUCAUGAACCAAGAGAGGAGAACGUGUGGA